RNAcentral lists this ribosomal RNA (248 nucleotides) under uncultured bacterium. RNAcentral describes it as "partial 16S ribosomal RNA". It matches the Rfam family "Bacterial small subunit ribosomal RNA", at positions 796 to 1041 of the family's 1533-position model. The record is from RNAcentral.
CACGCCAUAAACGAUGAGCACUAGCUAUUGCAAGUGUCGACCCUUGCAGUGGUCAAGCUAACGCGUUAAGUGCUCCGCCUGGGAAGUACGGCCGCAAGGCUAAAACUCAAAGGAAUAGACGGGGACUCACACAAGCGGUGGAUCACGUGGCUUAAUUCGACACUAAGCGAGGAACCUUACCAAGGCUUGAAACUCUAAUGAAAUCCUUCCGAAAGGAAGGCCCUCCGAAAGGACAUUAGAGCAGGUGC